CCCCUCUGCCCUGCCGGGCAUCUCCCCCACAAGGGUGGAGAUCGGCAAGUGGCAAUGUUCCGCCCAUCAAAUACCCAAUUCAUGGACUUUGCAGGUGCCUUGAUUUCGGCGUACGCAGCUGGCGUGGGGCAGAGCGGCGCUUCCAGCCAAUCUCCCCCCUUGUGGGGGAGAUGCCCGGCAGGGCAGAGGGGGGUGCCUCCGAUCACAGUAACGACCUGAUCGGGCCUUGUUCUAAGGUGCCCGGC
Molecule: non-coding RNA, 245 nt
Filed under: Sinorhizobium fredii NGR234
Lineage: Bacteria; Pseudomonadati; Pseudomonadota; Alphaproteobacteria; Hyphomicrobiales; Rhizobiaceae
Source: RNAcentral